AGUGAACGCUGGCGGUAGGCCUAACACAUGCAAGUCGAACGGCAGCACAGUAAGAGCUUGCUCUUACGGGUGGCGAGUGGCGGACGGGUGAGGAAUACAUCGGAAUCUACUCUUUCGUGGGGGCUAACGUAGGGAAACUUACGCUAAUAUCGCAUACGACCUACGGGUGAAAGCAGGGGAUCUUCGGACCUUGCGCGAUUGAAUGAGCCGAUGUCGGAUUAGCUAGUUGGCGGGGUAAAGGCCCACCAAGGCGACGAUCCGUAGCUGGUCUGAGAGGAUGAUCGGCCACACUGGAACUGAGACACGGUCCAGACUCCUACGGGAGGCAGCAGUGGGGAAUAUUGGACAAUGGGCGCAAGCCUGAUCCAGCCAUACCGCGUGGGUGAAGAAGGCCUUCGGGUUGUAAAGCCCUUUUGUUGGGAAAGAAAAGCAGCAGGUUAAUACCCCGCUGUUCUGACGGUACCCAAAGAAUAAGCACCGGCUAACUUCGUG
This 492-nucleotide ribosomal RNA is filed under the name uncultured bacterium. RNAcentral describes it as "partial 16S ribosomal RNA". It matches the Rfam family "Bacterial small subunit ribosomal RNA", at positions 29 to 507 of the family's 1533-position model. The record is from RNAcentral.